CAAGACGGACUCCACGCGCGUGACCAGAACGCGCUCUGAUUGCUCCUUCACCCAACGAAGGGAACGAACGAACGCGGCGUCUGUUGCGUCAGUUGUGUGGCGGCUGUCGUUGGCGCCUAACGUGGAUUGCUGUUUCUCGCAGGCGAUCGAGCAAUGUGGACCCGGCCGCAGCACACAAGUGACGCCUCCUGAACCUGGGCCAGCCAAAGAGCAUUCAUUCGCCGAAAGCAAAGCAGCCAGGAGAAGUCCCCACACCAACAAGUACCGGAUUCUUAUUAUGGUGUGUCAACAUCUCAGCAAGUUCUCGGUGCUGAGGGGCUUGCACUUAAAGGCAAGUGUAAUUGUCUACUCAUCUGAAGUGUAUAUCAUUUCAUAUCAUUU
Long non-coding RNA from Dermacentor silvarum, 381 nucleotides. RefSeq lists it as uncharacterized. The transcript is spliced from 3 exons. The record is from RefSeq and is a predicted model, not a curated record. NCBI's taxonomy places the organism in Eukaryota, Metazoa, Arthropoda, Arachnida, Ixodida, Ixodidae.